UUCUAUAUCACUGUUACUGCUCCCACUGGAAGGCUAUUCCAGGUAUCUACUACCCUUUCUAUAUCACUGUUACUGCUCCCACUGGAAGGCUAUUCCAGGUAUCUACUACCCUUUCUAUAUCACUGUUACCGCUCCCACUGGGAGGCUAUUCCAGGUAUCUACUACCCUUUCUAUAUCUGUUACUGCUUGGAAGGCUGCUACCCAUAUCACUGUUACUGCUCCCACUGGAAGGCUAUUCCAGGUAUCUAUUACCCUUUCUAUAUCACUGUUACUGCUCCCACUGGAAGGCUAUUCCAGGUAUCUACUACCCUUUCUAUAUCACUGUUACCGCUCCCACUGGAAGGCUAUCCCUGGUAUCUACUACCCUUUCUAUAUCACUGUUACCGCUCCCACUGGAAAGCUAUUCCAGGUAUCUACUACCCUUUCUAUAUCACUGUUACCGCUCCCACUGGAAGGCUAUUCCAGGUAUCUACUACCCUUUCUAUAUCACUGUUACCGCUCCCACUGGAAGGCUAUCCCAGGUAUCUACUACCCUUUCUAUAUCACUGUUACCGCUCCCACUGGAAGGCUAUUCCAGGUAUCUACUACCCUUUCUAUAUCACUGUUACUGCUCCUACUCAUAGGCGUGUGCCUAGGCACCCUCUAAUCCCUGUGGCAUGCCUAUGGAUUGAGACCGGCAGGGGAGAUCUCAGAAUGUCCCCUGUCGGCUCAUGCAGAGCCGGCACUAUCCAAGCACCGGCUCUGCUCUAAGCCUUCAUGGGCCGGUGGGGAGAUCAAAGAUCUACUUCACCGGCCCACAGCAGCAUGGAGGGAGGCAGGAGAGGACCCAGGGAGCUCUAGCCAGCAGCUCCGCCAGGUUCCUCUUGCGAGAGCUGAGCGUUGCCGUGGCAACGCUCCAAUCUCGCGAGAGUGAACUCUAGCCCCACAGGCUAGAUUUCACUUUCCACGGGACCACCAGGGAUGGCACAGGGCAGCAAGGAUCCCCCCUCCCUACAUAAGGUAAUAAGGGAGGGGGGAUAUUUACUAAUCUGCCCCCACCUUCACCCCCAUAAUCCCUCCAAACAUACAGUGUACACACACACAUACAGCACACAAACAGAACCUACAGACCUACAGCACCCUCACACACACAGCACACAAACACCCUCACCCACAUAGCACACAAACAGCACCCUCACACACAUAGCACACAAACAUCACCCACACACCGCAUACUAACAGGACCCUAACAAACACACACACAAAUACCCUCACACACAGCACACUCACAGCACGCUCACAAACACCCUCACCCACAUAGCACACUACAAGAACCCUCACACACACAUCACACACCCUCACACAGCACACUAACAGCGCGCACACACACACACACACACACACACACAACAGUGUAUGUAUGUGUGUGUGUGUGUGUGUGUAUGUUUUUUUUAUAUAUACAUACAUACACGCGGCGUGUGUUAGUGCUUUAGGGGGCACACCCUAAUGCAAUAGGCUGCGCACGCCUAUGCUCCUACUGGUAGGCUAUUCCAGGUAUCUACUACCAUUUAAAUAUCACCAGUAGUCUUUAUUGCUUCCACUGGAAGGCGUAUCUACUACUCUUUCAGUAUAGUGAAAUUUCUGUUGUAGAUCAGCUUUAUGGGUGAAAUUAUACAGAUCCUUUCAAAUAAUGGUAUUUGCCCCAUCUCUAUCAGCCUAUGAUUGCCUUCCAAAUUCAGACAGGCUCAUGUGAUGUCCAAAUUUAGCCUUGGAUCACAAUUUCUUUACACACACCAGGGGUACAACAUUCACAAAGUCCUUACACCAUAACCACUAAGCUAUAAUUCUGUUUCUGCCUUUCCCAGAAUAUUAUGUCAUUCUCGCCCCCACUAGGUUAGUGGAACUCUUUCUAUAGAAAUUAUCUGAAACUGAUGGGAACCUCAUUCUCCAGAACUGGACACAUCAUGUCAGAAUUAAUGUUACAUAAAUCAUAAUAAAUGUUUGUGCUGACUGCUCACAGUGUGAUAUUUAAUGGGGGGUGGGGGGAUUCCAAAUCUUAAAGCGAUCUGGGUCAUAAACUGCGUGACAUUGAUUUUUCUUCCAUAUUUUUGUGUUUCUAUUUCUUUAUUGUGUUUUCCAUUGAAAUGACUUAAAAAUACAAAGUCUGUGUUUCUAAUAAAAAUAAAUGUGUCCACCUAACGAGCCAAUGCCAGGUAAGAAUUCAUUCCCUUGAAAUGGAGCCUCGCUGGUUCUGAAUACGCCAUAAGUUCUCGCUGGUUCUAAACACACCAUGAGUUCUCGCUGGUUCUGAAUACCCCAUAAGUUCUUGCUGGUUCUGAAUACGCCAUAAGUUAUUGCUGGUUGUGAAUUACGCCAUAAGUUCUCGCUGGUUUUGAAUUACGCCAUAAGUUCUCGCUGGUUUUGAAUUACGCCAUAAGUUCUCACUGGUUAUGAAUUACGCCAUAAGUUCUCGCUGGUUGUGAAUUACGCCAUAAGUUCUCGCUGGUUUUGAAUUACGCCAUAAGUUCUCGCUGGUUUUUAAUUACGCCAUAAGUUCUCGCUGGUUGUGAAUUACGCCAUAAGUUCUCGCUGGUUGUGAAUUACGCCAUAAGUUCUCGCUGGUUGUGAAUUACGCCAUAAGUUCUCGCUGGUUUUGAAUUACGCCAUAAGUUCUCGCUGGUAGUGAAUUAUGUCAUAAGUUCUCGCUGGUAGUGAAUUACGCCAUAAGUUCUCGCUGGUAGUGAAUUACGCCAUAAGUUCUCGCUGGUAGUGAAUUACGCCAUAAGUUCUCGCUGGUUUUGAAUUACGCCAUAAGUUCUCGCUGGUUGUGAAUUACGCCAUAAGUUCUCGCUGGUUUUGAAUUACGCCAUAAGUUCUUGCUGGUUGUGAAUUACGCCAUAAGUUCUCGCUGGUUUUUAAUUACGCCAUAAGUUCUCGCUGGUUUUGAAUUACGCCAUAAGUUCUCGCUGGUUGUGAAUUACGCCAUAAGUUCUUGCUGGUUUUGAAUUACGCCAUAAGUUCUUGCUGGUUUUGAAUUACGCCAUAAGUUCUCGCUGGUUUUUAAUUACGCCAUAAGUUCUCGCUGGUUUUGAAUUACGCCAUAAGUUCUCGCUGGUUGUGAAUUACGCCAUAAGUUCUCGCUGGUUGUGAAUUACGCCAUAAGUUCUCGCUGGUUGUGAAUUACGCCAUAAGUUCUUGCUGGUUGUGAAUUAAGCCAUAAGUUCUCGCUGGUUUUGAAUUACGCCAUAAGUUCUUGCUGGUUGUGAAUUACGCCAUAAGUUCUUGCUGGUUAUGAAUUACGCCAUAAGUUCUUGCUGGUUAUGAAUUACGCCAUAAGUUCUCGCUGGUAGUGAAUUACGUCAUAAGUUCUCGCUGGUUCUAAACACACCAUAAGUUCUCGGUUCUGGCUGGUUCUAAACACACCAUAAGUUUUCGCUGGUUCUAAACACAACAUAAGUUCACGCUGGUUCUGAAUAACGUUCUCACUGGUUUGCUGGUUAUGAAUACGCCAUAAGUUCUCGCUGGUUCUGAAUACGCCAUAAAUUCUUGCUGGUUCUGAUCACACCAUAAGUUUUCGCUGGUUCUAAACACAACAUAAGUUUUCGCUGGUUCUAAACACAACAUAAGUUCACGCUGGUUCUGAAUAACGUUCUCACUGGUUUGCUGGUUAUGAAUACGCCAUAAGUUCUCACUGGUUCUAAACACACCAUAAGUUCUCGCUGGUUCUGAAUACGCCAUAAAUUCUUGCUGGUUCUGAUCACACCAUAAGUUGUGUGUUAAAUUCACCUCCCCAGGCACAACGAGGGGAACGCUUAACUCUUCAGACAAAGGCUUGCAGGGGAAUCGGAGUUCACUUGGCGACGAUUUCUGACGGGACACAAUGAAUUUACUGUAAUGGGAUUCCCACAAGCCGGCAUUGUUUGAAGAAAAAAAAAAAAAUUAAGUUUCAAGACCUAUUUAGUUUUAAGAAAAGGACUUUGUGGAGUGGAGCGAGGUUUUGGGGUCAAUGCUGACUCAGCGAGGAGGACCAAGCUGAUUCAUUGCCCCUUUUAUAUUGUUCACUGAAAUUCUCUCCCCUCCUGUACAUUAUUCACAGAGGAACUCUCUGCCAGACUCAGCAAGACAGCCCUUACUGAUUUAACUAAGUAAACUUUCCUUUAAACUACUAACCAACGUAUAAUGUAAGAUCUUACUGGGGAUCUAUAAAGAAUUAUCGCUAUCUCUCUAUGUCCUCCUGGGAUCUGCUCUAUAGAACUGAACACAAUACUCUAGGAGAGAUCUUACCAUGGAUCUAUAAAGUACUAUCACUACCUCUCUAUGUCCUCCUGGGAUCUGCUCUAUAGAACUGAGCACAAUACUCUAGGUGAGAUCUUACCGGGAUCUAUAAAGUGCUAUCACUACCUCUCUAUAUCCUCCUGGGAUCUGCUCUAUAGAACUGAACACAAUACUCUAGGUGAGAUCUUACCGGGGAUCUAUAAAGUACUAUCACUACCUCUCUAUGUCCUGGGAUCUGCUCUAUAGAACUGAACACAAUACUCUAGGUGAGAUCUUACCGGGGAUCUAUAAAGUACUAUCACUACCUCUCUGUGUCCUCCUGGGAUCUGCUCUAUAGAACUGAACACAAUACUCUAGGUGAGAUCUUACCGGGAUCUAUAAAGUGCUAUCACUACCUCUCUAUAUCCUCCUGGGAUCUGCUCUAUAGAACUGAACACAAUACUCUAGGUGAGAUCUUACCAGGGAUCUAUAAAGUACUAUCACUAUCUCUCUAUGUCCUCCUGGGAUCUGCUCUAUUGAACUGAACACAAUACUCUAGGUGAGAUCUUACCGGGGAUCUAUAGAGUACUAUCACUACCUCUCUAUGUUCUGGGAUCUGCUCUAUAGAACUGAACACAAUACUCUAGGUGAGAUCUUACCGGGGAUCUAUAAAGUACUAUCACUACCUCUCUAUGUCCUCCUGGGAUCUGCUCUAUAGAACUGAACACAAUACUCUAGGUGUGGUCUUACUAUGGAUCUAUAAAGUACUAUCACACCUCUCUAUGUCCUCCUGGGAUCUGCUCUAUAGAACUGAACACAAUACUCUAGGUGAGAUCUUACCGGGGAUCUAUAAAGUACUAUCACACCUCUCUAUGUCCUCCUGGGAUCUGCUCUAUAGAACUGAACACAAUACUCUAGGUGAGAUCUUACCGGGAUCUAUGAAGUACUAUCACACCUCUCUAUGUCCUCCUGGGAUCUGCUCUACAGAACUGAACACAAUACUCUAGGUGAGAUCUUACCAGGGAUCUAUGAAGUACUAUCACUACCUCUCUAUGUCCUCCUGGGAUCUGCUCUAUAGAACUGAACACAAUACUCUAGGUGAGAUCUUACUGGGGAUCUAUAAAGUGCUAUCACUACCUCUCUAUGUCCUCCUGGGAUCUGCUCUAUAGAACUGAACACAAUACUCUAGGUGAGAUCUUACCGGGAUCUAUAAAGUACUAUCACUACCUCUCUAUGUCCUGGGAUCUGCUCUAUAGAACUGAACACAAUACUCUAGGUGAGAUCUUACCGGGGAUCUAUAAAGUACUAUCACUACCUCUCUAUGUCCACCUGGGAUCUGCUCUAUAGAAUUGAACACAAUACUCUAGGUGAGAUCUUACCGGGGAUCUAUAAAGUGCUAUCACUACCUCUCUAUGUCCUCCUGGAAUCUGCUCUACAGAACUGAACACAGUACUCAUAGUGCAGCCAGGGGGCGCUGUGAUUGUGCUCAUAACAAGCUCUUUAAAUCUGUUUUAUUUAACUUGCCAUGACAUGUUUAUUCCCUAAGAAGAGGACCCAGUCUCCAUUAGCCAUUGGACUAUCAGGGUUUGAGCGAUGCUAUUGCAAUGAACAGGUUAAAUGAGCUCGGCAGCAGCCAAUUCAACCCUCCUCCCUGCCAUUUAAAGCAGCGGCUAUUACCACAAACACCAAGGAGGUGAGUCACUCCAUACACACCCAGCCAUGAGCACAGCCUGGCCUUAGCAUGAUCUCUGGUUUCUCCUGUCUCAGCUGCUGCAUUCCUCCUGGAAUAUCGUUUAACCCUCCAUUGACUCCUUGAGGUUAAUAAGCAGAGAGAGAGUGAGCUCAGCUGUUGACUGGCGCCUGCCAUCAGCGAACCCUCUCUGCGCCUGGAGCAGCCCAAUCUGGCUCUCAAAGGGUUAAACUUGCCGUCAGGGUUAUGCACUAACCUGCAAAUUGUUGAGGAAUCAAAGUGAAUUUUGGAGUUUAGGCUACCAUGCGAAACUGGAAGAGGACUCCAAGUCAGCGACGUUCUCACCUUAAUUGCUAAACUGUGAAUUCAUGUUUAAUUUUGGACAAUUUAUACUUUAGUUAAUAUCCCCGGUAUUAUACACUGCUCAAAAAAAUAAAGGGAACACAAAAAUAACACAUCCUAGAUCUGAAUUAAUGAAAUAUUCUUCUGAAAUACUUUGUUCUUUACAUAGUUGAAUGUGCAGACAAAAAAGUUUUAAAAUGGAAAUUAGAUUUUUCAACCCAUGGAGGUCUGGAUUUGGAGUCACACUCCAAAGUGGAAAAACACACUACAGGCUGAUCCAACUUUGAUGUAAUGUCCUGAAAACAAGUCAAAAUGAGGCUCAGUAGUGUGUGUGGCCUCCACGUGCCUGUAUGACCUCCCUACAAUGCCUGUGCAUGCUCCUGAUGAGGUGGUGGAUGGUCUCCUGAGGGAUCUCCUCACAGACCUGUACUAAAGCAUCUACCAACUCCUGGACAGUCUGUGGUGCAACGUGAUGUUGGUGGAUGGAGCGAGACAUGAUGUCCCAGAUGUGCUCAAUUGGAUUCAGGUCUGGGGAACGGGCGGGCCAGUCCAUAGCAUCAAUGCCUUUGUCUUGCAGGUACUGCUGACACACUCCAGCCACAUGAGGUCUAACAUUGUCUUGCAUUAGGUGGAACCCAGGGCCAACCGCACCAGCAUAUGGUAUCACAAGGGGUCUGAGGAUAUCUCGGUACCUAACGGCAGUCAAGCUACCUCUGGCGAGCACAUGGAGGACUGUGCGGCCCCCCAAAGAAAUGCCACCCCACACCAUUACUGACCCACUGCCAAACCGGUCAUUCUGGAGGAUGUUGCAGGCAGCAGAACGUUCUCCACUGCGUCUCCAGACUGUCACGUCUGUCACAUGUGCUCAGUGUGAACCUGCUUUCAUCUGUGAAGAGCACAGGGCGCCAGUGGCGAAUUUGCCAAUCUUGGUGUUCUCUGGCAAAUGCCAAACGUCCUGCACGGUGUUGGGCUGUAAGCACAAUCCCCACCUGUGGACGUCGGGCCCUCAUACCACCCUCAUGGAGUCUGUUUCUGACCGCUUGAGCAGACACAUGCACAUUUGUGGCCUGCUGGAGGUCAUUUUGCAGGGCUCUGGCAGUGCUCCUCCUGUUCCUCCUUGCACAAAGGCAGAGGUAGCGGUCCUGCUGCUGGGUUAUUGCCCUCCUAUGGCCUCCUUCACGUCUCCUGAUGUAUUGGCCUGUUUCCUGGUAGCGCCUCCAUGCUCUGGACACUACGAUGACAGACACAGCAAACCUUACCAUAUCUCUAAUUGAUGUGCCAUCCUGGAUGAGCUGCACUACCUGAGCCACUUGUGUGGGUUGUAGACUCCGUCUCAUGCUACCACUAGAGUGAAAGCACCGCCAGCAUUCAAAAGUCACCAAAACAUCAGCCAGGAAGCAAAGGAACUGAGAAGUGGUCUGUGGUCACCACCUGCAGAACCAUUCCUUUAUUGUGGGUGUCUUGCUAAUUGCCAAUAAUUUUCACCUGUUGUCUAUCCCAUUUGCAAUGCUGGCACAGACGGGCGACAACCGUUACUAAAUCACAGCUAUAAAAUGCACAUAGCGCGGGUCAGCAGUAUAAUCGGCUAGAAGCCAGCCAUUAAAUAGGAAAGCCGCUCACAAUAGGGAAACAACCAAACCCCACUCGUCUAGGAAAAAUAGAUCAUUUUAUUUCCAUGGGAGAUUAUUACGGCUUUAUGCCCUCGCUGUGCUGGUGAGCUGAAAAUCAAAAUUUGAAAAGAAUUGCUGGGUUGGACAAUUUUCUUCUCCCAGAAUUUGGUGAUUGAUUCACCACAAUUGCGUGUUUGGUGAAUAAUUCCACUGACACAAAUAGAUCAUUUUGUGAAGCUCAGACGCACAGAGUGAUAUCCUGAUAUAGCCAACACAGGGCUGUGGGAGGACUUAUUCAUACGUAUAAACAUAUACAUGGGGAUAAAACAACCACUUUCUAUUCUCUUAUAAAACUUCCCAAAUAUUACUACUACGUUUUUACCUUGCAACAAUUUGUAAUUUACAAACAAAGUGAAUUUUAAAUGUGACGCCAACAUGGCGACCUAAAAGCAAAGCUGAAUUGGAGAAUUUUUCCACAUUGUCUGUUUUGGACUAACAUUUUGAAUUAAUCUUGAUGCCACUUUGAAUUCACAGUGAAUAUUGAUUUUAGGACCAUGAGAUCAGACUGCGGCAGAAUACAUAGUUACAUUGCUACUUAGGAAAAAAAAGAGUCCAACCUUUCAGAGACAUCUCUGUAUGCUGUUUAUAAGAAGAAAGAAAAAAGUAUAAAUAAAUCCCAAUAUAAUGCAUUAGACAAUAUUUCCUCCCCCCCGAAAGAAUAGAAAAUACUUAUUGUCACAAUCAUAGCAAUCAGGGUUCUCCUUGGAUCGAUACGCUCUUCACAUACAUAUUAAUUACUAUCUUUAAUAUUCUGAUUUUCAAAAAAACCAUCCAGGCCAUUUUUUAAAGAAAUAUCUAUAGAAUUUGAUAAGAAAAGCUCUUUCAGUAGCGAAUUCCGCAUGUUUACUGUUCUUACUGUAAAGAACCCUUCCCUCCGAAGUGAUACGAUGAGUCUCAAUACUGAGUGAAAUCAAUGUCACGAUAUGUCACAUUGUAAAAUCAUAUCAUUUGGAUCAAUUCAUAUCAUUCUUAAAGGGACACUGUUUUUUUGUGUAUUGAUGCCUUCUCCUCUCUGUGACAGUGUAAUAGAUUGCUAUCAUUGUCAGUAGAUCCUAAUAACUCUCUCUGAGAAACCUCAGAUUGUCAGAUCAUGGCGGCUGACGCCCAUCUGUCCGGAUCAUCUCAUAAGAGGGGAACAAAUUCUACAGGGAGACUGUCCCGACUCUGGAUUACAGGUAAAUCUAAUGGAUUUUAAAAAAUAUAUAUCAUUUUGUUCUCUAAAAAGAGAUAUGACUUCAUAGGGACACUCUAAGCUCAACAUAAAUAGAUUUAUUUUUAUCCUUCGAGCGUUACUUUCACUAUAAAUUGUUAUUUGAAUCAUAUAUUAUUAUAUCAUACUAUUUAUCCUACAAAUAAGACAGAGUGAUGAGAACAUCGAGUGACAAAUUGCUAAAGUUUAUUAAUCAUUUUGUGAUUUUAAUAAACAGUCACAUCGUAUCUUUUACAGAAUUGGUCCAUAAUUUCCCUUUUUCUACUCAAUGAUUACACCAAUAUCCCAAUUCUCAGCAAUUCCCAGUUUAGUAAAUAACUCUAUGUUUUCAGAUUUCUACACACCUUUUCCUUGAUCAACGCAUGAAACGUUCUCCUUAUUGUGAAAUGUUCUGAUAAAUUGAGAGAAAUGUAAAGUUAUUUCACCCAGCCAGGUUUUAUCUGUGCUGUGAGCAAAGCCGCCACAAUUUAAUUCACUGAUUUAUUUAAUGUCGCUAUUUCCAACUUCAGUAAUUCAAUCCAAAAUAUUUUGCGCAAAUACGUCUAGGAAUUCUGAGAAAGCUGAGAAAUGGUUCGGAGAUUUCUAUAUGAAGCAGUACGGUGAUUAGACAUUCUGUUGGUAAUUAUGGACAACUAAAUAAAAUAACUAAACUGCCAGUGUUCCCCACCUCAAACGUUCACAAUCCCCCUAUAUAACAAAAGAAUUGUCCAUCUUCCCUAUUAAUCCCCUACAUUAGGCCACAUUUUGCCAGAUAUUACAAGUGAUUGUUCUACUAAAGCCCUUAUAGUGUCUGAUGUCAUUUAAAAUCUGAAAACGAUGUCUCUAUUCUCUAGAACUGUGAAUUCGGUUUGACCCAAAUUGUAGUUCGUCUAAAUCUCUUGUGGGGUGGUAAGUGUAAGCCGUCUUGGGAAUUAGAGGGACUCCCUGCUCUGCUGCGUAUAUUUCCUGGAACAUAGAAGAACGCAGCAGAGCAGGGAAUCCCUUAACUCCUCACUUACCGACCAUUUUGUUCUAUGACCGGGUCGGUAAGUGAGGAGUGUCUGUGUAUAUAUAUAUAUAUAUAGCUUUUUUUUUUUCCACUUAUCCUCCUGGUUUCCCUACUUUUCCUCACUUGGUCUGUGAACUAAAUAGUUGGAUAUUGUUCCUAUCAGUGUACUGCACAAUAUAUAAAUAUUAUUUAUAUAUCCACAUUUGAAUUAUACAUCAUGUUUAUAAUUUCUAUAUUAUGUAUUAAUUAUGCAGUGCGAUAAUUGGCCUGUUUUCACCUGAAAUUGUUUUCCAAAUAAUUUUCCUGGAUGAUAUUUGGAUGAGCAGAACCAUCAGCUGAUUAUGUGUCGGGGAUUCCGAACUAAAUUUCAUUUUUAGAAAACUUGUUUUGGUCGAAUCAAAUUUUUCCGCACGGCAUAAAUGUACUAUGAGUACACCCUCGAAUGGUUCACCGAUUUUAAUGACUGGUAAAAACAGGGGGGUACUUAUUUCUCAUUUACAAUUAUUACUAUUAUUUCACCAAUAAUGGAAAGAUAUGGGAAUCAUUCUAACAGGUAAAAUGGUUCUCAGGAGAAAGCGCAACGUCCAGCCGCCUGUUGUCUAUUGUGGUUCCUUAAUGGCGUUUCGCAGGCGCACACGUAAUGAGAUUGUGAUUUUACUGAUGUCAUUUUAAUGUGGAAUGUUUUGCUGUUUUGUGUUUGAUUGAUUAGAGCAGGAGUUUCUGUCCCAGGCUACGUUAACAAGAUUUUAAGCCAAAAGAAUCGAUUUUUCCCAUCUCCCUGUUACUUAACAGAGCUCUUAUCUGUCCGUUCUGUAAGUGAUAUUAAUUUCGUUUUACGAGAUGGCCGCCAGUGAUCCACAAGUUUAUAACAGUCUACGUAGGUAACUAGCACAUGGACGAGUGAAGCACAUCUGUGAUAUUAGGAGAUUUACCCACUAAACAGUGAACUGGGUCAAUAUCUAAACAUUUUAUUCCAUUUCACACACAGCAGUAUUGGCUGACGCUGGCACUUGGCGUGUUCGCAAAUUACAUUCACCCUAAAGCUUAGAUUAUUUAAAUUGCACAUUUUCCCAUAUUUUUAAAUUACGACAUCUUUUAAUUGUGUCAGAGUUCCACUAAAAGUUAAAGUCUGAAAACCCUGAAGGGACUACGACGCUUUAAUUGCAUGAAUGAUGGAGGAAGCUGCAAACAUUUGCUAUUUUAGAGCCGGGACCUUGUUUUCUCUGACAAAAAAAAAACUAAAAAUGUGAUGUCUGUAUUCUCAUUACUAAUUUGUUACGAAAACUCUGCGUAACCAAAAACUGUGAGUAUUUUUUUUUUUUUUAGUUCCCAUGUUUAAUGUUAUUUCUGAAGGAGCGAAAGAUAUAAAAAGUCUUCAGAAAGAAAAAGAUGUGAGAUGUACCAAGAAAGGACCGUCCACGACACAGCAAUAUGCCCCCCCGCACCCCAAUGUUCAUUGUAUAUAAAUAAAGCUUGUUGAAAAACAGGCUGCCAUGUCCCCCUAGUCCCUAUAGAGGGUCCGCUAUGCCCAGCGCUCUCUGUGUAAUCAUUGGCCAUAAACUCAUGGCUUCCUGUUCCGCUGCGGAGACAUCAUAACUGUGACUCGAUUAACUGCAUCUCCGUCAGUCCACGGUCAUUUACUGCAACCAAAACGUAAAAACACCUUAAAGGGACAGUUACAUCUAAUGACACGGAAUCCCUUUGUUUAUGUUAUGUCGGAGUUGCAUUAAAUCCUAAAUGGCCAUAGCAACCAAUAGAAUCUAGGAAAAUCAAACACUUUGGGCAGGAAUUGUCCCAGUUUGGUGUUAAUAAAUAUGGCUCUAUUACUGUGACAUUAUUCAGCCCUUUACUAGCAAAUCUCCUUCUUCAAAGACUAUUUAGGAGACUAAAUCUGAGAAUUAAUCUACGCCUGGGUGGGACAAACCUUUUCAUACAAUCUGUAUGACAGCCUGCCUGCCAUAGCUGUGGAUGCAACGGAUAGAUUAUAGUUCAGAGAGCAGUAAGUCUGUCUGAUGGUUUAGAUUAUUACAGCCUCACAUAGCAGAAUAGGCUAAUAGCUUGCAGUAACUUUAUAAUGGAUCUACUGUCCAUUUAAUGGCAAAAUUAUAACCAUAUCUUACAGCACCUUACUCAUACUUACAUAUAUUUACUCAUGCUCAGCCUGGCCUCUCUAUGGCUCAACAGAUCUGUUCAUCAGGCUAUUAUGCAGCUUCCAAGCUUCUAAUUGUCUAUAUCACUCCACUGGAAGGCUAUUCCAGGUAUCUACUACCCUUUCUAUAUCACUGUUACUGCUCCUACUGGAAGGCUAUUCCAGGUAUCUACUACCCUCUCUAUAUCACUGUUACUGCUCCCACUGGAAGGCUAUUCCAGGUAUCUACUACCCUUUCUGUAUCACUGUUACUGCUGCCACUGUGAUGCUAUUCCAUGUAUCUACUACCCUUUCUAUAUUGCUGUUCCCGCACCCACUGGAAGUCUAUGCCAAGUAUCUACUACAUUUUCUAUAUUGCUGUUACCGCUUCCACUGGAAGGCUAUUCCAGGUAUCUACUACCCUUUCUAUAUCACUGUUACUGCUCCUACUGGAAGGCUAUUCCAGGUAUCUACUACCCUCUCUAUAUCACUGUUACUGCUCCCACUGGAAGGCUAUUCCAGGUAUCUACUACCCUUUCUGUAUCACUGUUACUGCUGCCACUGUGAUGCUAUUCCAUGUAUCUACUACCCUUUCUAUAUUGCUGUUCCCGCACCCACUGGAAGUCUAUGCCAAGUAUCUACUAAAUUUUCUAUAUUGCUGUUACCGCUUCCACUGGAAGGCUAUUCCAGGUAUCUACUACCCUUUCUAUAUCACUGUUACUGCUCCCACUGGAAGGCUAUUCCAGGUAUCUACUACCUUUUGUAUGUCACUGUUACUGCUCCCACUGGAAGUCUAUGCCAAGUAUCUACUACAUUUUCUAUAUUGCUGUUACCGCUUCCACUGGAAGGCUAUUCCAGGUAUCUACUACCCUUUCUAUAUCACUGUUAGCUUUUGCUGCUCCCACUGGAAGGCUAUUCCAGGUAUCUACUACCCUUUCUAUAUCACUGUUACUGCUCCCACUGGAGGGCUAUUCCAGGUAUCUACUACCUUUUGUAUAUCACUGUUACUGCUCCCACUGGAAGGCUAUUCCAGGUAUCUACUACCCUUUCUAUAUCACUGUUACAGAUCCCACUGGAAGGCUAUUCAAGGUAUCUACAACCCUUUCUAUAUCACUGUGACCGUUCACACUGGAAGGCUAUUCCAGGUAUCUACUACCCUUUCUAUAUUGCUGUUACCGCUCCCAGUGGAAGGCCAUUCCAGGUAUCUACUACCCUUUCUAUAUCACUGUUAGCUUUUACUGCUCCCACUGGAAGGCUAUUCCAGGUAUUUACUACCCUUUCCAUAUCACUGUUACCGCUCCCACUGGAAGGCUAUUCCAGGUAUCUACUACCCUUUCUAUAUCACUGUUACUGCUCCCACUGGAAGGCUAUUCCAGGUAUCUACUACCCUUUCUAUAUCACUGUUACUGCUCCCACUGGAAGGCUAUUCCAGGUAUCUACUACCUUUUCUAUAUCACUGUUACUGCUCCCACUGGAAGGCUAUUCCAGGUAUCUACUACCCUUUCUGUAUCACUGUUACUGCUCCCACUGGAAGGCUAUUCCAGGUAUCUACUACCCUUUCUAUAUCACUGUUACUGCUCCCACUGGAAGGCUAUUCCAGGUAUCUACUACCCUUUCUAUAUCACUCUUACUGCUCCCACUGGAAGGCUAUUCCAGGUAUCUACUACCCUUUCUAUAUCACUGUUACUGCUCCCACUGGAAGGCUAUUCCAGGCAUCUACUGCCCUUUCUAUAUCACUGUUACUGCUCCCACUGGAAGGCUAUUCCAGGUAUCUACUACCCUUUCUAUAUCACUGUUACUGCUCCCACUGUUUGUUCAGUCUACUGCCGCUUUCACCAUAUCACUGUUACUGCUACCACUGGAAGGGUGUUCCAGGUAUCUACUACCCUUUCUAUAUCACUGUUACUGCUUCCACUGGAAGGCUAUUUCAGGUAUCUACUACCCUUUCUAUAUCACUGUUACUCCUCCCACUGGAAGGGUGUUCCAGGUAUCUACUAUCCUUUCUAUAUCACUGUUACUGCUCCCACUGGAAGGCUAUUCCAUGUAUCUACUAACCUUUCUAUAUCACUGUUACCACUUCCACUGGAAGUCUAUUCCAGGUAUCUACUAUCCUUUCUAUAUCACUGUUACUGCUUCCACUGGAAGUCUAUUCCAGGUAUCUACUACCCUUUCUAUAUCACUGUUACUCCUCCCACUUGAAGGCUAUUCCAGGUAUCUGCCACCCUUUCUAUAUCACUGUUACUGCACCCACUGGAAGGCUAUUCCAGGUAUCUACUACCCUUUCCAAAUCACCGUUAGCUUUUACUGCUCCCACUGGAAGGCUAUUCCAAGUAUCUACUACCUUUUCUAUAUCACUGUUACCGCUCCAACUGGAAGGCUAUUCCAGGUAUCUACUACCCUCUCUAUAUCGCUGUUACCGCUCCCAUUUGAAAGCUAUUCCAGGUAUCUACUACCCUUUCUAUAUCGCUGUUACCGCUCCCACUGGAAGGCUAUUCCAUGUAUCUACUACCCUUUUUAUAUCACUGUGACUGCUACCACUGGAAGGCUAUUCCAGGUAUCUACUACCCUUUCUAUAUUGCUGUUACCGCUCCCAGUGGAAGGCCAUUCCAGGUAUCUACUACCCUUUCUAUAUCGCUGUUACCGCUCCCACUGGAAGGCUAUUCCAGGUAUCUACUACCUUUUCUAUAUCACUGUUACCGCUCCAACUGGAAGGCUAUUCCAGGUAUCUACUACCCUCUCUAUAUCGCUGUUACCGCUCCCAUUUGAAAGCUAUUCCAGGUAUCUACUACCCUUUCUAUAUCGCUGUUACCGCUCCCACUGGAAGGCUAUUCCAUGUAUCUACUACCUUUUUUAUAUCACUGUGACUGCUCCCACUGGAAGGCUAUUCCAGGUAUCUACUACCCUUUCUAUAUCACUGUUAUCGCCGCUCCCACUGGAAGGCUAUUUCAGAUAUCUACUACCCUUUCCAUAUCACUGUUACAGCUCCCAGUGGAAGGCCAUUCCAGGUAUCUACUACCCUUUCUAUAUCACUGUUACUGCUUUCACUGGAAGGCUAUUCCAGGUAUCUACUACCCUUUCUAUAUCACUGUUACAGAUCCCACUGGAAGGCUAUUCCAGGUAUCUACUACCCUUUCUAUAUCACUGUGACCGUUCACACUGGAAGGCUAUUCCAGGUAUCUACUACCCUUUCUAUAUUGCUGUUACCGCUCCCACUGGAAGGCCAUUCCAGGUAUCUACUAACCUUUCUAUAUCGCUGUUACCGCUCCCACUGGAAGGCUAUUCCAGGUAUCUACUACCUUUUCUAUAUCGCUGUUACCGCUCCCAUUGGAAGGCUAUUCCAAGUAUCUACUACCUUUUCUAUAUCACUGUUACCGCUCCCACUGGAAGGCUAUUCCAGGUAUCUACUAACCUCUCUAUAUCGCUGUUACCGCUCCCAUUUGAAAGCUAUUCCAGGUAUCUACUACCCUUUCUAUAUCGCUGUUACCUCUCCCACUGGAAGGCUAUUCCAUGUAUCUACUACCCUUUCUAUAUCACUGUGACUGCUCCCACUGGAAGGCUAUUCCAGGUAUCUACUACCCUUUCUGUAUCACUGUUACCGCCGCUCCCACUGGAAGGCUAUUUCAGAUAUCUACUACCCUUUCUAUAUCACUGUUACUGCUUCCACUGGAAGGCUAUUCCAGGUAUCUACUACCCUUUCUAUAUCGUUGUUACCGCUCCCACUGGAAGGCUAUUCCAGGUAUCUACUACCUUUUCUAUAUCGCUGUUACAGCUCCCAUUGGAAGGCUAUUCCAAGUAUCUACUACCUUUUCUAUAUCACUGUUACCGCUCCCACUGGAAGGCUAUUCCAGGUAUCUACUAACCUCUCUAUAUCGCUGUUACCGCUCCCAUUUGAAAGCUAUUCCAGGUAUCUACUACCCUUUCUAUAUCGCUGUUACCGCUCCCACUGGAAGGCUAUUCCAUGUAUCUACUACCCUUUCUAUAUCACUGUGACUGCUGCCACUGGAAGGCUAUUCCAGGUAUCUACUACCCUUUCUGUAUCACUGUUACCGCCGCUCCCACUGGAAGGCUAUUUCAGAUAUCUACUACCCUUUCUAUAUCACUGUUACUGCUUCCACUGGAUGGCUAUUCCAGGUAUCUACUACCCUUUCUAUAUCACUGUUACUGCUACCACUGGAAGGGUGUUCCAGGUAUCUACUACCCUUUCUAUAUCACUGUUACUGAUUCCACUGGAAGGCUAUUCCAGGUAUCUACUACCCUUUCUAUAUCACUGUUACUCCUCCCACUGGAAGGGUGUUCCAGGUAUCUACUACCCUUUCUAUAUCACUGUUACUGAUUCCACUGGAAGGCUAUUCCAGGUAUCUACUACCCUUUCUAUAUCACUGUUACUGCUCCCACUGGAAGGCUAUUCCAGGUAUCUACUACCCUUUCUAUAUCACUGUUACCGCUUCCACUGGAAGUCUAUUCCAGGUAUCUACUAUCCUUUCUAUAUCACUGUUACCGCUUCCACUGGAAGGCUAUUCCAGGUAUCUACUACCCUUUCUAUAUAACUGUUACCGCUUCCACUGGAAGGCUAUUCCAGGUAUCUACUACCCUUUCUAUAUCACUGUUACCGCUCCCGCUGGAAGGCUAUUCCAGGUAUCUACUACCCUCUCUAUAUCGCUGUUACCGCUCCCAUUAGAAGGCUAUUCCAAGUAUCUACUACCUUUUCUAUAUCACUGUUACCGCUCCAACUGGAAGGCUAUUCCAGGUAUCUACUACCCUCUCUAUAUCGCUGUUACCGCUCCCAUUUGAAAGCUAUUCCAGGUAUCUACUACCCUUUCUAUAUCGCUGUUACCGCUCCCACUGGAAGGCUAUUCCAUGUAUCUACUACCCUUUUUAUAUCACUGUGACUGCUCCCACUGGAAGGCUAUUCCAGGUAUCUACUACCCUUUCUAUAUUGCUGUUACCGCUCCCAGUGGAAGGCCAUUCCAGGUAUCUACUACCCUUUCUAUAUCGCUGUUACCGCUCCCACUGGAAGGCUAUUCCAGGUAUCUACUACCUUUUCUAUAUCGCUGUUACCGCUCCCACUGGAAGGCUAUUCCAGGUAUCUACUACCCUUUCUAUAUCGCUGUUACCGCUCCCACUGGAAGGCUAUUCCAUGUAUCUACUACCUUUUUUAUAUCACUGUGACUGCUCCCACUGGAAGGCUAUUCCAGGUAUCUACUACCCUUUCUAUAUCACUGUUAUCGCCGCUCCCACUGGAAGGCUAUUUCAGAUAUCUACUACCCUUUCCAUAUCACUGUUACAGCUCCCAGUGGAAGGCCAUUCCAGGUAUCUACUACCCUUUCUAUAUCACUGUUACUGCUUUCACUGGAAGGCUAUUCCAGGUAUCUACUACCCUUUCUAUAUCACUGUUACAGAUCCCACUGGAAGGCUAUUCCAGGUAUCUACUACCCUUUCUAUAUCACUGUUACUGCUCCCACUGGAAGGCUAUUCCAGGUAUCUACUACCCUUUCUAUAUUGCUGUUACUGCUCCCACUGGAAGGCUAUUCCAGGUAUCUACUACCCUUUCUAUAUCACUGUUACCGCUCCCACUGGAAGGCUAUUUCAGAUAUCUACUACCCUUUCUGUAUCACUGUUACUGCUCCCACUGGAAGGCUAUUCCAGGUAUCUACUACCCUUUCUAUAUCACUGUUACUGCUCCCACUGGAAAGAUAUUCCAGGUGUCUACUACCCUUUCCAAAUCACUGUUACUGCUCAUACUGAAAGGCUAUUCCAUGUAUCUACUACUCUUUCUAUAUCACUGUUACUGCUUCCACUGGAAGGCUAUUCCAGGUAUCUACUACCCUUUCUAUAUCACUGUUACUGCUUCCACUGGAAGGCUAUUCCAGGUAUCUACUACCCAUUCUAUAUCACUGUUACUGCUUCCACUAGAAGGCUAUUCCAGGUAUCUACUACCCUUUCUAUAUCACUGUUACUGCUCCCACUGGAAGGCUAUUCCAGGUAUCUACUACCCUUUCUAUAUCACUGUUACUGAUUCCACUGGAAGGCUAUUCCAGGUAUCUACUACCCUUUCUAUAUCACUUGUACUGCUCCCACUGGAAGGCUAUUCCAGGUAUCUACUACCCUUUCCAAAUCACUGUUAGCUUUUACUGCUCCCACUGGAAGGCUAUUCCGGGUAUCUACUACCCUUUCUAUAUCACUGUUAGCUUUUACUGCUCCCACUGGAAGGCUAUUCCAGGUAUUUACUACCCUUUCUAUAUCACUGUUACCGCUCCCACUGGAAGGCUAUUCCAGGUAUCUACUACCCUUUCUAUAUCACUGUUAGCCUUUACUGCUCCCACUGGAAGGCUAUUCCAGGUAUCUACUACCAUUUCUAUAUCACUGUUACUGCUCCCACUAGAAGGUUAUUCCAGGUAUCUACUACCCUUUCUAUAUCACUGUUACUGCUCCCACUGGAAGGCUAUUCCAGGUAUCUACUACCCUUUCUAUAUCACUGUUACCGCUCCCAUUGGAAGGCUAUUCCAGGUAUCUACUACCCUUUCUAUAUCACUGUCACUGCUCCCACUGGAAGGCUAUUCCAGGUGUCUACUACCCUUUCUAUAUCACUGUUACCGCUCCCACUGGAAGGCUAUUCCAGGUAUCUACUACCCUUUCUAUAUCACUGUUACUGCUCCUACUGGAAGGCUAUUCCAGGUAUCUACUACCCUUUCUAUAUCACUGUUACUGCUCCUACUGGAAGGCUAUUCCAGGUAUCUACUACCCUUUCUAUAUCACUGUUACCGCUCCCACUGGAAGGCUAUUCCAGGUAUCUACUACCCUUUCUAUAUCACUGUUACUGCUCCCACUGGAAGGCUAUUCCAGGUAUCUACUACCCUUUCUAUAUCACUGUUACUGCUCCCACUGGAAGGCUAUUCCAGGUAUCUACUACCCUUUCUAUAUCACUGUUACUGCUACCACUGGAAGGGUGUUCCAGGUAUCUACUACCCUUUCUAUAUCACUGUUACUCCUCCCACUGGAAGGGUGUUCCAGGUAUCUACUAUCCUUUCUAUAUCACUGUUACUGCUCCCACU
Molecule: long non-coding RNA, 19313 nt
Filed under: Pelobates cultripes (western spadefoot toad)
Lineage: Eukaryota; Metazoa; Chordata; Amphibia; Anura; Pelobatidae
Source: RNAcentral